This 266-nucleotide ribosomal RNA is filed under the name uncultured bacterium. Its description in RNAcentral is "partial 16S ribosomal RNA". It matches the Rfam family "Bacterial small subunit ribosomal RNA", at positions 793 to 1055 of the family's 1533-position model. The record is from RNAcentral.
GUCCAUGCCGUAAACGAUGUCUACUAGCCGUUGGGCCUUUGAGGCUUUAGUGGCGCAGCUAACGCGAUAAGUAGACCGCCUGGGGAGUACGGUCGCAAGACUAAAACUCAAAUGAAUUGACGGGGGCCCGCACAAGCGGUGGAGCAUGUGGUUUAAUUCGAUGCAACGCGAAGAACCUUACCAACGUUUGACAUCCCUAUCGCGGUUACCAGAGAUGGUUUCCUUCAGUUCGGCUGGAUAGGUGACAGGUGCUGCAUGGCUGUCGU